CCAAUAGCGUAUAUUAAAGUUGUUGCAGUUAAAAAGCUCGUAGUUGAACUUCGGGAUUUGCUCAUUGGUCAGGCUUCACUGUCUGUACUGGUGUAACGAAUUCCUACCUUCUGAUGAAUCUUCAUGCCAUUCAUUUGGUGCGUAGGGGAAUCAGGACUGUUACUUUGAAAAAAUUAGAGUGUUAAAGCAGGCUAUUGCUCGAAUACAUUAGCAUGGAAUAAUAGAAUAGGACGGUUGGUUCUAUUUUGUUGGUUUCUAGGAUCACCGUAAUGAUUAAUAGGGAUAGUUGGGGGCAUUAGUAUUCAAUUGUCAGAGGUGAAAUUCUUGGAUUUAUUGAAGACUAACUACUGCGAAAGCAUUUGCCAAGGAUGUUUUCAUUAAUCAAGAACGAAAGUUAGGGGAUCGAAGACGAUCAGAUACCGUCGUAGUCUUAACCAUAAACUAUGCCGACUAGGGAUCGGACGAAGUUAAUUUUUAAAUGACUCGUUCGGCACCUUACG
Molecule: ribosomal RNA, 500 nt
Filed under: uncultured Glomeromycotina
Lineage: Eukaryota; Fungi; Glomeromycota
Description: partial small subunit ribosomal RNA
Rfam family: Eukaryotic small subunit ribosomal RNA
Source: RNAcentral